This 102-nucleotide non-coding RNA is filed under the name Metabacillus indicus. RNAcentral's name for it is "Bacillus cibi Guanine sequence". It matches the Rfam family "Purine riboswitch aptamer". Rfam says of the family: Riboswitches are metabolite binding domains within certain messenger RNAs that serve as precision sensors for their corresponding targets. Allosteric rearrangement of mRNA structure is mediated by ligand binding, and this results in modulation of gene expression. The record is from Rfam by way of RNAcentral. Lineage: Bacteria; Bacillati; Bacillota; Bacilli; Caryophanales; Bacillaceae.
UUCUAAUAAAACGUGCACACUCAUAUAAUCGCGGGGAUAUGGCCUGCAAGUUUCUACCGGAUGACCGUUAAUCAUCUGACUAUGAGUGAGCAGUGCUUUGUU